AGGACAAUGCAAAUAGCUCUCGCCCUAAGAAUCGUUUACCUAUUUACAUACUUAUGUAUUUAUAGUAACUACAACAACAAAUUGAGCAACAGCCACAGCAGUGUGAAGGACGUUUGCAGUUGGUGCGCGUUUUUUGGCGCCACGCCAAUUUCACAACGCGAAAAAGCGGCAAAUCUCAUAGCAAAAGAACUGGGCGCAUACAUAACAUUUAGAAAGCGCAAAAUAGAUUAUUUAACUUUUUACGUAUUACGCAUCGAAUUCUUGUUUGCGUCACAUUCAAUCGCUCAUUAUCUCACUGCCACCCGCUCUCUUGCUCGCUCGCGUUCUGUCUCUUCCUCUUUCUCUCUCUCUCUCUCUCUCUCUUGCACGCACUCUACCCAACAUCGAAAACACCCCAAAGCAAAGCACCAACAAUAAAGCUGCAAAGGAGGCUCGUCCUUUUAGCCUAUUGUGUGGGUAUGUGUGUGUUUGUGGCUGUCGGUUUGUGGGCGUGCCAGGGGCCGUGUAUUGAUUUUUCAGUUACAAAAAAGACAAAAAAACUUUUGCCAAGUUUUGUGUACUGAUUUUUCGACAUUACAUAACCCGCACAUACUCACAUUUUCGGAGAUGGGCGGAUGGUUACGCUCUUUGUUUAAAGGUCAUUCGGCGGACAAUCUUUUUGGCGCAACACAAUAACGGAAAAUGCAGACAAAAAGUCAUUUGGCAACAGAAACAACGCAUCUCCUAUGCAAAAGAAAUCAAGCAACAACAUCGGCAGCAGCAGCAGUAACAACAACAACAACAACAA
Drosophila mojavensis is the source of this 787-nucleotide long non-coding RNA. RefSeq lists it as uncharacterized. The record is from RefSeq and is a predicted model, not a curated record. The transcript is spliced from 2 exons. Lineage: Eukaryota; Metazoa; Arthropoda; Insecta; Diptera; Drosophilidae.